Non-coding RNA from Blautia sp. CAG:52, 350 nucleotides. The record is from Rfam. Lineage: Bacteria; Bacillati; Bacillota; Clostridia; Lachnospirales; Lachnospiraceae.
UAAGUAGAAUAAAUGGUCGCGGCUGACAGAACCGAAAGGGGUCAGGUGAGGAAAGUCCGGGCUUCAAAGGGCAGGAUGCCGGAUAACGUCCGGUGGAGGUGACUCCAAGGCCAGUGCAACAGAAAUAAACCGCCAGGUUCGCCUGGUAAGGGUGGAAAGGCAGUGUAAGAGACUACCGCCUGUCUGGUGACAGAGAGGGCACAUGUAAACCCCAUCCGAAGCAAGACCGAACAAAAAACUAUGUGGCUGCCCGUCACGUUUUUAGGUAGGUCGCUGAAGCCUGCUGGCAACAGCAGGAUUAGAUAGAUGACCAUUCAAGACAUAACCCGGCUUAUCGUUCUGCUUACUUU